This is a non-coding RNA of Microcebus murinus (gray mouse lemur), 8859 nucleotides long. Lineage: Eukaryota; Metazoa; Chordata; Mammalia; Primates; Cheirogaleidae. The record is from RefSeq and is a predicted model, not a curated record.
AUCCUUUGAUGAACGUGCACAUUUUAGCGUAGAAUGUUUAGUAUGAUUUCAUGUUUUUGCAGGGUUUUUGAGGAGAAUCUCGAGGCAUUUUGUUUCUUUCCACAGGACUAAUCCCUUCUUUAGGGCACAGCUCAUUUUCAAGAGGCGGUUGCGCUGCUGCUUUGCCCCCCACCCGUUCAGUGUGACAGCCUCAGAGCUGGUGGAGAGACAGAGAGCAUGCCACUGGAUAAAUUUGUAGACGUGGAAUUCCUGGACCAAAUGGUCACCAAUUGUUUAUGCAUCAUUUAUUGAGUAAUCCAACCUUCUUCCACUGAUCUGAAAUGGCAACAACUGUUCUCCUAUUAGAUAGGGUGUAGCUUCCUACAAGUCAGCCAUUUUCUCUUUACUCAAGAUGGUUACAUUCUGUAAUAGUACUCCUACCUUCUUGCAGCUUCUGACAGCAUACUAAAGAAUCACAUUUGUGCUUAUGCCUUUCAAAAAUUCUAGGCAUAUGCAGUUUAGGGUAGUGGUUUUGAAACAGAAUUCUUUUCAUUUUAAAUAUUUAAAAAUUGUCUUUUUGUCGCAUGCUUUUUAUAAAUUAAAAUUGAGGAAUCCAAAUAUACAAAGCCACUCUUCCAGGUGUGCUGUUCCUCUUGUACACACCUGACAUACAUCCAAAUUGUGUGUUUAAAAAACAUCCUUCCCCCGGGGAUAGUGCUAGUCCUAAGGUUGUUCCCUCAACCUCUUUUUCUACUCCUCAGGUAUUUGGAGAGUUAAAGUUUUGUGGACUCAGUUGGUGGUAUUUUCUAGAAUGGUAUAAGAGGGAAAUGUAGAAAUGUAUAAAGAGUAGAAAUAAUAUCUUCCAGCCUGUUGCUGGCAGUAGGCUGAUGUAGGGUCUUAAAAGAGCUAGGGUGAGUCCCAAUCCAUGCUGCCAUUGCCACCAUCUCUUCUAGAUAGGGACACACUCCAAUGGUCCACCUCUUUUCACUGCAGGUGGAAGGCUCAAGACAUAAAGCACCAAGUUUUUAAAUAGGAGAUGGGUUAAAUAUUGCCCACAGAAAGAUUUGACUGUUAAAAUCACCUGCUACCCACUACUCACAGUCUCCGGCACCAACAAAGCCUUCUUUCUCUAUUGACUUCUGACCCUGGCCUCUAGCUAUACUGAUUCUGGGGAUAAAAAGAUAUUAAGGGAGACUUGCCUGGAAACAGAUUUGUGGCCGCAAUGUACAAACUCACCCUCUCAUGCUCACACUGGCCAAAUAAUACAAACAUACCUUUAGCCCUACUGCACAAAGACUCACCCUACAAUACACAGACACACCCUAAGUCACACUGACAAGCACCACAGCAAAAAGACUUGGCCCAGAGUACACAGAGACACUCCCCAUACCACUAGAUUCUUCCAGAGGCAUAUAUGUUCUCCCCAACACAGACACUCACCUAAGGGACACUGACCUAACCCACAUGAUACAGACUCACCCCACAAUAAAGACUGUACUCAUGACACAGACAAUCCUGACAUUACACACUGUCCUCACAUGACACAGACUAUUCCCAGGACACACACUGCAUAUAGACUCACCCUACAGAACACAGAUUCUCCUAUAACCAUACAUUUUCUCCAGGCCAAAAAACUCACCCCACAUCACACAGACUCUCUCCUCCCAGCAUGCAGACUUUUCUCAUGCCUUACUGACUAAACCCAUAGCUGAGACUCUCGCUACAGAACACAGACUUCCCUCAUAUCACGUUGACCCUCACAAGAGCAGACAGCCUCGUUCUGUGGCACAAAGACUCUCUCCACUUCACACAUUCUCACCACAGAACAUAGAUUCUGCCUACAGCCCACAGACUUGCCCUAGAGCACAUGGAUUCUUGCCACAGAAUAGACUUUCUUUCUAGAACAGACUCAUGACACAGCCUGAAGAUCCACACAUGACACAAAGACUCUCUCACAACAGACAGACUCACCCAGUGGUACACAGACAAGCACCUCAGGCCACAGACCAUCCUGUCAGGACACAGACUCACCCUACACUACCAGACACUCCCCAGAUCAUGCAGACUCACUCCACAAAACGCAAACUAAACCCAUAAUACAGCUCUUCCUACAGCACUCAGACAAGCUUAUUCCCACAACACAGAGAUGCAGCAGCACAUCUUAUAGCACAUAUAUCAUGCCCUGAUGCUCAGGAUUGUGCCACAACACACAAACUUGUGCUGCAAUUCACCAAUUCAUUUUACAACAAACCCACUUACCAUACAAUACAAAUACUUGCCCCACAGUGCACUCAUUUGCCUGGAAACAUCUGGACCUUCCCCUAAACACACAGUUACCGCAGAAUGCAUAUUGUGGUCCUAUAUCACCAAAAUACACCCCAAAUUCCUCAGAUACACUCUGUGAUAGACAUGCCUCACAAUGCACAGCUUGGCAGCACAGCAUGAAAACUGGCCCUACAGCAGACAAACUAGUUCCACAACAGACGCAUUCAUGCUGCAGACACCUAAUCUUUCUCUUAAGUAUUCAAAGCUGCCCCUUAGGGUACAGUCCGAGAUGUGAUCUACAAUAUCCUCACUCAUUCCACAACACUGAUGCAGCCUACAACAUACAAACAUAUCCCACAGAAAAAUAUUCCACCCCCAUAGUGCUCAGAAUUGUGUCACAACACAUACUUGCAUACAGAUCCAUUUCACAAAACAGCAUUUCUUACAGUGGCUAUACAAUGCAAACACAUAUCCCCAAACACAUGAAACAGUUUGCUAUACCACUCUCAGGUUUAUCUCAAGGCAUAUAGACUGAUUUUACUGCUCAAGCUGCUGCCUGCAAAACAAGAUAUGCCCAAUCAGGCACAGAAAUCCACCAAAAUGCAUAGAUUUGCCCAUCGAUAUACAUACUUGCCUCACAACUCACAAAUACCACUGAGCACCAUGACCCACCCUAAAUAUAUGAACAAGCCCUUCAUGAAACAGACUUACCCAAUAACAUACUCAGUCACACUCACAACACUUAGACAUGCCUUACAAUUCACAGGCAUGCCUGUAAACACAUAGAUUCCUUCCAUAGUGCACAGAACUGCAUCACAACACAGACUGACUGUACAGUCCAAAAACCUAUUAUACACAUAAACAUUCCCCAGUAUGUCACACACAACACAAAUAUUACCCUUACAAAGCAAAGAUUUCCAUCUUUCCGUUAUAGUGGACAGACAUGAUUUACCAUACUAUUGAGCUACAACUCUGGCCUACAACAGAGAUUACAGCUUGUGUAAUGGUUACGAGCAAGGCCUAUGGACACAGACUACCUAGAUUUGAAUCAAGGUCUCCAAUCUCUUGCUAAGUGUAUCAUCUUGGGAGGAGCUAGAAGAUUGAGAGAGAGCAGAGUGGAAGUGGGGGAAGAGGGCUGCAUGUCCAGUGCACAUUUGCCACCUAGUGACCAAAUUCAGAGCUCUAUGGAAUGGGGGAAGAGAACAAAGAAUAAUAGGACCUUUCACAUGUGUGAGGACAAAGUGAAAAAGAGAAAAACAAGUGCAACAAGAAUAAGGGAAGCUGGAUGUACAGCUGUCCCAGAAGGUGCCAUGAUGGUGGUAUUUUUCUUCUCACCUCAGCCUGGGAACCUGACCUUGACUCCUGAGUUCCAUGAUCCCUUCACAACUGCAAGUCAUUCUCAUACAAAAUUUGAGUUUACCUAGUCUGCACCUUUGAGAGCUUUGGAACAAUAUGCAAGUUCAAGUCACCAUCAUGUUGUCUUGCUGAAUGUCUCAUGCGACAAGACCAACAUUUGGGUCACUUGCUUCUACGCUUGCUCUUCUGCCUGAUGUUCUCUGCAGCAAUUGAUUGUGCACAUGUGUUGUCAUACAAAGACUGUUUAGCCUUUUUUAAAAAUUUGUCUUGUGAAUUUUCUCAUUUGAUUCUUAAAUAUUACAAAUUAAUAUUGUGUACCUCUCAGUGAUAUAAAACUUUGAAUCAUUGUAAAUUUACAUGAGUUAAGGUAGACAUGGCCUCCAAGCAAAAGAACAAGAAGAUGGAUGAUAGAGAUGCAAGAAGAGUGAAAAUAUCAAGGAAGGUUGAUGUCAAUAGUGAACACAAUGAGAGUUCUUGAAAUUCUUUAUAAUGGUGAAAGCAAGACCUCUGUGGGGCAUACAUUUUUUUUUUUUGGUGUUAGUAAAUCAAUUGUUCAUACAAUAAAGAAAAAUGAGAAAGCCAUUAGGGCCAGUGCAUUGAGGGGCACACUAAAAUCAUUGAAAAAAAUUAUGCAUAACUCAAAAUGCCAAAAUAGGGAAAAUGAAGAGAUUUACAUUUGUGGCUUCUAAAAUAGAAAAUGCUGUAUAAGCCUCUUUCUAUAUGUACAAUCUAUCAGCAAGCAUCACAAAAAUGUUAGUUUAAUUUCAAUCUGGAUGAUAAGUUAUAACAUUCAUAGCAAGUAAUGGGUGGCUGGAUAGGUUUAAGAAAUGCUCUGGGCUGUAGUGAAAAGAAGUGGCUGGCAGAGGAAGCAGAUCAUGAAGCUGCUGUAGGGUAUACUGAAUAUCUGAAGAAACUAAUUGAGGAAAAUGGUUAUUUGCCUGAUUAGGUCUUCAAUGCUGAUGAAAAAUCUUGUUCUGGAAGAGAAUGAUUAUUUACACAUCCAUUGCAAAGGAUGAGAAAAGAACCAGAGGCUUCAAGUCCAGAAGUUCUGCUUUGUUUCAAUGCCUCUGGUCACUUUCUGAUUAAAUCCAUAUUGCUUCACAGAUUCCAAAAUCCUUGCCCUCUUAGAGAAUGCCAGGAACAUUUUUUUCUGUGUAUGUGAAGGGAAACCAUAAAAUCUGGCUCACCGAGAAACUCUUUUUGGACUGGAUUUUUAAGUGUUUUGUUCCUGAGUUUACAUAAUAUUUUUAAAAAAUGUUGAAUUCAAAGUGUUAGUGAUUGUGGACACUAAUCCCACUGACAAAAGUGCAAUAGUAAAGGCUGCUCCUUUUGUUCAAGUUAUCUCCAUUAUCCCCAAUACAACUCCACUUCUUCAACCCAUGCAUCUGGGGGCGCUAAAAACAUUCAUGGUGUUCUAUACCCAGUGUACAUUUUUACUACCUUGCAGAUCUUAUCAAAAGGACACCAGAACUUACUGUGAAAGUAGCUUGGCAAAAUUUCUCCAUUUGUAAUGCUUUAACAGUAGUAGAAGAAUCAGUGGGAGAAAUAAAAGAAUCAACACUUCACCAGUCCCAGCAGAAACUUCAGAAUGAGGUUGUAACUAAUUCUGAAAGUUUCCUUCCAGUGGUAGAAGAAAUUGAAAAUGUAACAUCUGCAAAGUUUUGGUGCUGAAGGGUUUGAAGACAUUCAGUUAAGUGACAUUGCUGAAUUGUUAGAUUCUCAUUGCCAGAAGAUAGUUGAAAAAUAUUUCAGAGAUGAGAUCACAUCAAAAGUUAAUAAAAGAGGCCAGCAUAGGUUAAUAUUCAGAACUCAAAGAAUGUUGUUGUAUCCAAUCCACAAAUCAAAUUGUCAUGAUGAUUCAGAAGAAAGACAUCCUUCAGUGGACUGUAUCUCGACCUUCAGGGGAGAAGAGGCUGGAACAUUGAGUCAUGUCAUUCAAACCCAUUCCACAAACAGGAAGCAGAAGCAUUGCACACAGAUAGUUGAACCUUGGGAUUUAGACUCUGACAGCUCUGAUGUGGUGAUCUAUGUGCUGGGGAAUGAAAAUGGAGCAGAAGACUGAGAUGACUUCUUUGCAGACAAAAUGAAAUUUUCUCUAUUUUUUCCUUGUCACUACUGUCAUGACCAAGCAUUUUCAUUGGUGCAUUAUCACCCUCAUCUUGAGAUCAGAGAGAAAGAGAAAUUAAUUGCGUGACAUUCACUAUUGCUGAUGGAAAGUUUAUAAAAUAUCAUUGAUAUCACUUUAUUGUUUUAUUUCAGUAAACAAACCAAUUGUCUGGGCUUUCACAAUACUUCCUUCUCUGCCCCAUUUUUUCCUAAAAGUUCUUAAAUUCCUCUAACACAGAUCCUAUGAGGGUUUCAGGAACUCAACUACAGGGCCUAGGGAGAAGGCUACUCAACUGGGUUGGAUAAUUUGAUUUUGUACUCUUAAUUCUAAAAUUUACUUUACUUCCGAUUAAGCCUAACUUCCUAUCUCACCAGAAAGGACAAGUUUGGUAUAAAUUAAUAAGUGAAUUUGUUUUGAAGCAAUUGUAUAUGAAAAAUCUUGCAUUUAUGAUGAAUUUCUGAAUUUCUUUUGGUACCUAAUCAAGGAGGGGAAGAGCUGGUAGAGUUAAUUUCUAUAGAUCCUCUGUGUUAUUUUUUUUAAUUUAUUUUUUCAACAUGCCAUCACUAGUUUAAAAGCUCCUCUCUGUUCUCAUAUUUGGCCUUCCCAGUGAUUGAACAGUUGAAUAUCCUCCAAAAAAGGGAUAUUGAUACUUUCUGUUCCCUGAAGGUGGUGAAGACUUCAUUCCUAAAUUGUUUUUUUAAUUCCCUCCAUAAUUCCAUAUGUUUACUUUAUUUGACUCAUUUGUGUUACAAAAGUUAUUGUUGUCAUGGUUUUAAUUUUGGAUGUUUGGAAUUUUCUAGGCAGAUUUAACAGAGGGGAAUAAAAAUCACCAAGCUGGAGAUGUGAAGCUGAUAUCUUGUUCUAAGAAUUCGUGGCAAAAACAUAUGAUGAACCUACCUUUUCUUUUGGCUACUUACACACAUUCCCACUUGAUGUCCAUUUUGAACUCAGUUGGACAGUUAUUCUGGCGCAUAGAGAGACAGGAUGUCUGAAUAACAUUGCUUUUGCUCCUGUUUUAACUACUAUUUGUGCCACAGUCACUGUAUUGGCACCAUAAUUACAUCUGAUAAUGAUGUCUGAAAAAUCUGAAUAGAGAAAAGAAGAAAGAUAAUUCGUUGGCAUGUACCUGCUAAAAAAAGACCUUAUAUAGCUUGAAAAGGCAUAAAGACAACCUGGAAUGAUGAAAUUUACAUACAGUAAUGAGAAAAAAAUGCUGCCUUUAAACAACAGUACCAAAAAAUGACACCAGAGCUUAGAUUGAAUUUGGUCCUAUAGGAAGCAGGAAAAAAGCCCACUUGAGUUGAAAUUUGGUGUAUCUGAGUUUGAAGUUAUCAGGAAAAAGGGGAAAAAUUAAAAGGCUAAAAGUGUUUGCUUGCAUGGUUACUGUUGAGGUGACAGAUGUUUUUCAACAAGCUUAAAUGAGGAAGAUGAUGAUUGAAAACCCAUCGUAGGGAGCUAUGGAUGUAGUGACUCACCACAGUGCCAGGCAAGUUUAUGUUUUCUCUCUAAGCCAUACUAGUUCUUAACGCUGACUAUACAUCAGAAUCAUGAGGUGGAGGUUUGAAAAAUAAAUAUUUCUGGGAACUGCUUGCAGACCUGAUGAAUCAGGCAUAGGGAUAUGUAUAUUUCAAAAGUUCCUCAAAGUGAUUCUUUAUAUAGCCAUGGUUGUGAACUGCUGCUCUUAAGGCUAAACAAAAUUAUGAUAGAAAAUAUAAUAUAAAUGGUAGUAAGCCCAGGAACUAUGAAGCCUUGAUUCAAAGUGUUUGUUCUGCCACUAGUUCAAUGGAUGGUUUUUAUCAAGUCACUCUCCUCUUUCCUUAUCUGCCAAAUGAGGGGAUAGGACCACUUGGUCGCUAAGGUCCUUCUAUCUCUGACAUUGUCACCUUGAGAGAAAGGUGCAUCAACCUCAUUAGUUGAUAUUGAGAAAAUCUAAGCCCUUUCAUGAGACCAAGGUAAGUAGUAAUAUUAUUGAAUUGUGCUCUUGUUAUUUAAAAAAUUUUUGCUUAUGGUUCGAGUUUGACCAUGUUUUAGUCCCUCCCAGAAAAGAAUGUUGGGCAGAGAUGCCAUAGAAAAAAUGCAAACAUAGCAUCAAUUUCCUGAAAGAAAAGAGAGAGAGAACACCACCAGGGAGUUUCUUUUUCUGUGAAAAUUGUUGUUUUUUUCCCCUGGGUUAUAGGGUUUGGGGAGAAUAUUGCAUAGAUAUUAUAUGUGAAAUGCUCUAAUAAUUUGUAUCUAUUGUUUCCAUAAAUCAAAGCAGAGAACUCUGUAUAGUCAAUGCUUUAAGUUUCCAUGGAUAAUUUGCUUAUUCUUAAUGAUGUUUAGAGGUAAAUAUUUUUAAGUUAGUGAUCUUUUUACCAGUAUUAUCAGUGGUUCCAUAUGUCUUUAAUGAAUGUGCUUUCCUGAUAAUUUUACCAUUCAUUGAGAUUACUACCUUGGCAAUUUUUUCUCUUAAUUUGACCAUAAUUAGAGAAAUUGAAUUUUAAAUCAAAUUUCAUCAACUAGGAGCUCUUAAUGUAAAAUAAUAAAAUAAAAAAUUGACUAUUAGAUUAUUUUAAUUAUUGUAGGAAUGCUUCAACUUUGGCUUGAUAGAUUGAAUGUUUGUCCAAGGCCCAGACCACUUGAAAUAAUAUACUGGGAUGAAUCUAAUUCUUGUUUAAGGCACUAUCCAGUUAAAAUAAUCUAAGAAGUAUUACUGAUGAGGUAAAAGAUAGGACAUUUUAAUGUGGUUGAAUUUAACAACUCAGUGGAAUUUAUAGGAGAAUGUGAAGUCUGAUAUAGGCUAAAGGGUAGAAAUAGAAACAGAAAGGAAUAUCAUCUAAAUGAGUAUUUUUUUCUUCUUUGGGAAUAGUUCCCCAAAUUGAAACUCUAAAAUUUCUUUUAGCAUAUUUUAUGCACAGUUGGACUGGAGAGAAUCUUUCUGUUGUCAAAAGGCUUGGGUACAUGCUUGAGCUCAAUAUUAUGAAGCACAUAGAAAGUUUACUUCUUUAUAGACAUAUUUAACCACUGUGGCAAAAAGAAAAAAAUAGGUAAGUAGGGAGAAAGGGCAACCCAGGGUGUUGAAAUGUGGAGAAUAUAUUAGAAAACUGGUAUUACAUUUAAAAGGAGCCUUUUAUUUAAAAUCUUUCAAGUUCAAAAUGCAGAGAAGGCACUUU